AAUUCAGUUAGCUAAUAUUUUGUUGAGGAUUUUUGCAUUUAUGUUCAUCAAAGAUAUUGGUAUGGAAUUUUCUUUUUUUAUUAUGUCCUUUCCUGGUUUUGGUAUUAGGGUAAUACUGGGGUAGCAUACUAAAUUUUUAUUUAAUCUGUGUGAGCAGAAAACUUCCAGGUCAAAUCAAUAAAAGUCUAACCCAAAUCAUAAAAGCAGAGAAUCAUGGUCCCUCAAUCAAUUCUCAGACUUGAGCCAGUUUACAAACCCAGAAUCCCUUGAAUGAAGGGGAGGCUGGGUCUCCUCAAGGAAAAACCCUGGUACACUACUGAAAAUGUAUACUGGUGGGUUUUUUUUUGUUUUUGUUUUGUUUUGUUUUUUUAAACUUUUUAUUUGCAUAUUUUAAAAAUUGUGCAUUCUGAUAAUUAAAAUCAUUUGAACAACAACAAAAAAAUGGCACUCUGAUUAAACUGCAUUACAGCCUGCAGGACACCUUGGACCAGCUUGGUUUUACUCUAGAUUUCACUGUCGUCCCAACCCUACUUCUUCCACCCCACUUCUUCCUUCACCAACAUGCAAGUUCUUUCCUUCCCUGCCAGCCAGAUAGACAGAUGGGAAAGGCAGGCGCGGCCUUCGUUGUCAGUAGUUCUUUGAUGUGAAAGGGGCAGCACAGUCAUUUAAACUUGAUCCAACUUCUUUGCAUCUUACAAAGUUAAACAGUUUCUUUGGAAGGCAGUGGAUUUUUCUCUUGCAUCUCUGUCUUCUUCAGUUUCGACUUAUCGAAUUUCUCAAUCUCAGUCAUAUCGGGUUUGUCAAACAUGGUUGCGGAGGAAAAGCGGAGCGAGGCGCACAAAAACGAGCGAAGUCUGGUCUGCGCAGUGGCCACUACCGAGUUGUCCGAAAAUGUAUACUGUUAAUCUUUGUCCCAGCCUCCUCCAAGGGGAUCUGUGGCCUUUUACAGGAGUAACUGUGCAUUGGAGGGAAAAAUCAGAUCUUUCAGGGAGUACUUGUUCUAAACUGACAUUGAUUCCAGGAGACCUGGAACAUCACUAUGGCCGUACACUCAGAGUAGGAGCUUAUGGAGGUCAGGUUACCAAUGGAGUUUUAGCUUAAGUCCAACUUACAGUGGGUUCACUGGGACCCCAAAUGCAUCCUGCAGUUAUUUCCCUAGUUCCAAGGUGCAUAAUUGGAAUUGACAUACUUAGCAGCUGGCAGAAUUCCCACAAUGGUUCCCUUACUAUGGAGAGUGGGAUAUUAUGGUGGGAAAGGUCAAAUGGAAGCCAUUAGAGGCAUUCUACUUAGGAAAAUAGUAAAUCAAAUGCAAUACUUCAUUUCUGGGGGAAUUGCAGAAAUUAGUACCACCAUCAAGUACUUGAAAGAUGCAAAGGUGGUGAUUCCUACCACAUACCUACUCAACUCUCCUAUUUGGCCUGUGUAGAAGACAGAUAGAUCUUAGAGAAUGACAGUGGAUUAUUGUAAGCUUAAUCAAGUGAUGACUCCAAUUGCAGCUGCUGUACCAGAUGUGGUUUCAUUGCUUGAGCAAAUUAACACAUCUUCUGGUACCUGGUAUGCAGCUAUUGACCUGGCAAAUGCCCUUUUCUGCAUCCCUAUCCAUAAGGCCCAUCAGAAGCAGUUUGCUUUCGGCUGAAAAGGCCAGUAAUACACCUUCACUGUUCUGCCUGUGAAGGGGUAUAUCAGCCCUCUAGCCCUAUGUCAUAACUUAGUUUGCAGAUAUCUUGAUCAGUUGACAGAGGAAGAGAAGACUUGGGCCUGGUUUAGAUAGUUCUUCAUGAUAUGAAGGCUCCACCAGAAAGUGGACAGCUACAGCACUACAGCCCCUUUCUGGGACAUCCCUAAAGAACUAUGGUGAAGGAAAAUCCUCCUGGUGGACAGAAUACCAAGUAGUAUACCUGGCUUUUCACUUUGCUUGAAAAGAGAAAGAACCAGACAUGUAAUUAUAGACCAAUUCAUGGAACGUGGCCAGUGGAUUGGCUACAUAGUCAGGGAUUUGGAAGGAACAUGAUUGGGAAACUGAUGACAAAGAAAUACGGGGAAGAGGUAUGUGGAUGGACAUCUGAACUAGCAAAAACUGUGAAGAUAUUUGUGCCUCUAGAUGCAUCCAUGUUGCUGCAAAUGGUACCAUUUUGUUCUUUUUUAAUUGCUGUGUGGUAUGGAAUGGCCUUUUGCAGACACAGUUACAGUAGCAGGUAGAUGACAGUACUUUGCAGGGCUGGGCAAGGUUCUUUGG
Long non-coding RNA from Macaca mulatta (Rhesus monkey), 2236 nucleotides. The record is from Ensembl. Lineage: Eukaryota; Metazoa; Chordata; Mammalia; Primates; Cercopithecidae.